RNAcentral lists this ribosomal RNA (892 nucleotides) under Halococcus dombrowskii. Its description in RNAcentral is "bacterial SSU rRNA". It matches the Rfam family "Archaeal small subunit ribosomal RNA", at positions 49 to 942 of the family's 1478-position model. Lineage: Archaea; Methanobacteriati; Methanobacteriota; Halobacteria; Halobacteriales; Halococcaceae. The record is from RNAcentral.
CCAUGCUAGUUGUACGGGUUUAGACCCGUAGCAAAUAGCUCCGUAACACGUGGUCAAACUACCCUCUGGACCGGGAUACCCUCGGGAAACUGAGGUCAAUCCCGGAUACUGCUUUCAUGUUGGAACACAGAAAGUCGGAAACGGUCCGCCGCCGGAGGACGUGACUGCGGCCGAUUAGGUAGACGGUGGGGUAACGGCCCACCGUGCCGAUAAUCGGUACGGGUUGUGAGAGCAAGAACCCGGAGACGGUAUCUGAGACAAGAUACCGGGCCCUACGGGGCGCAGCAGGCGCGAAACCUUUACACUGCACGCCAGUGCGAUAAGGGGACCCCGAGUGCGAGGGCAUACAGUCCUCGCUUUUCGUGACCGUAAGAAGGUCUCAGAAUAAGAGCUGGGCAAGACCGGUGCCAGCCGCCGCGGUAAUACCGGCAGCUCGAGUGAUAGCCACUAUUAUUGGGCCUAAAGCGUCCGUAGCCGGCCGAACAGGUCCGUCGGGAAAUCCACCCGCUCAACGGGUGGACGUCCGGCGGAAACCAGUCGGCUUGGGGCCGGGAGACCAGAGAGGUACGUCCGGGGUAGGAGUGAAAUCCUGUAAUCCUGGACGGACCACCGGUAGCGAAAGCGUCUCUGGAGAACGGACCCGACGGUGAGGGACGAAAGCUUGGGUCUCGAACCGGAUUAGAUACCCGGGUAGUCCAAGCUGUAAACGAUGCUCGCUAGGUGUGGCGUUGGCUACGAGCCAGCGCUGUGCCGUAGGGAAGCCGAGAAGCGAGCCGCCUGGGAAGUACGUCCGCAAGGAUGAAACUUAAAGGAAUUGGCGGGGGAGCACUACAACCGGAGGAGCCUGCGGUUUAAUUGGACUCAACGCCGGACAUCUCACCGGCACCGACAG